Molecule: ribosomal RNA, 1047 nt
Filed under: uncultured bacterium
Lineage: Bacteria
Description: bacterial SSU rRNA
Rfam family: Bacterial small subunit ribosomal RNA
Source: RNAcentral
GCUAACAUGCAAGUCGAGGGGCAGCACAUAGGGUAGCAAUACCCUUGGUGGCGACCGGCGCACGGGUGAGUAACGCGUAUGCAACCUACCUAUCAGCGGAGGAUAACCCGGCGAAAGUCGGACUAAUACUCCAUAAAACAGGGGCCCCGCAUGGGGAUAUUUGUUAAAGAUUUAUUACUGAUAGAUGGGCAUGCGUUCCAUUAGCUUGUUGGUGAGGUAACGGCUCACCAAGGCAUCGAUGGAUAGGGGUUCUGAGAGGAAGGUCCCCCACACUGGUACUGAGACACGGACCAGACUCCUACGGGAGGCAGCAGUGAGGAAUAUUGGUCAAUGGGCGAGAGCCUGAACCAGCCAAGUCGCGUGAAGGAUGACGGAUCUAUGGUUUGUAAACUUCUUUUAUACGGGAAUAAAGUGCAGCACGUGUGUUGUUUUGUAUGUACCGUAAUGAAUAAGCAUCGGCUAACUCCGUGCCAGCAGCCGCGGUAAUACGGAGGAUGCGAGCGUUAUCCGGAUUUAUUGGGUUUAAAGGGUGCGUAGGUGGUAGAUUAAGUCAGCGGUGAAAGUUUGUCGCUCAACGAUAAAAUUGCCAUUGAAACUGGUUUACUUGAGUAUAUUUGAAGUAGGCGGAAUGCGUGGUGUAGCGGUGAAAUGCAUAGAUAUCACGCAGAACUCCGAUUGCGAAGGCAGCUUACUAAGUUAUAACUGACACUGAAGCACGAAAGCGUGGGUAUCAAACAGGAUUAGAUACCCUGGUAGUCCACGCAGUAAACGAUGAUUACUAGCUGUUUGCGAUAUAUUGUAAGUGGCACAGCNAAAGCGUUAAGUAAUCCCACCUGGGGAGUACNCCGGCAACGGUGAAACUCAAAGGAAUUGACGGGGGCCCNCNCAAGCGGAGGAACAUGUGGUUUAAUUCGAUGAUACNCNAGGAACCNUACCCGGGAUUGAAAUGUACCCUGAAUAUAGUGGAAAACUUUAUAGCCNGCCAUGGCCAGGUAUGUAGGUGCCUGCAUGGNUUGNCNUCNCCCUCCNUGCCCUGGAGGUGUCCGC